This 540-nucleotide ribosomal RNA is filed under the name uncultured bacterium. Its description in RNAcentral is "bacterial SSU rRNA". It matches the Rfam family "Bacterial small subunit ribosomal RNA", at positions 355 to 896 of the family's 1533-position model. The record is from RNAcentral.
UGAGGAAUAUUGGUCAAUGGGCGCGAGCCUGAACCAGCCAAGUAGCGUGCAGGAUGACGGCCCUAUGGGUUGUAAACUGCUUUUGUAUGGGGAUAAAGUCAAUCACGUGUGAUUGUUUGCAGGUACCAUACGAAUAAGGACCGGCUAAUUCCGUGCCAGCAGCCGCGGUAAUACGGAAGGUCCGGGCGUUAUCCGGAUUUAUUGGGUUUAAAGGGAGCGUAGGCCGGAGAUUAAGUGUGUUGUGAAAUGUAGACGCUCAACGUCUGACUUGCAGCGCAUACUGGUUUCCUUGAGUACGCACAACGUUGGCGGAAUUCGUCGUGUAGCGGUGAAAUGCUUAGAUAUGACGAAGAACUCCGAUUGCGAAGGCAGCUGACGGGAGCGCAACUGACGCUUAAGCUCGAAGGUGCGGGUAUCGAACAGGAUUAGAUACCCUGGUAGUCCGCACAGUAAACGAUGGAUGCCCGCUGUUGGUACCUGGUAUCAGCGGCUAAGCGAAAGCAUUAAGCAUCCCACCUGGNGAGUACNCCGGCNACGGUG